RNAcentral lists this ribosomal RNA (497 nucleotides) under uncultured bacterium. RNAcentral's name for it is "partial 16S ribosomal RNA". It matches the Rfam family "Bacterial small subunit ribosomal RNA", at positions 28 to 507 of the family's 1533-position model. The record is from RNAcentral.
GAUGAACGCUGGCGGCGUGCCUAAUACAUGCAAGUCGAGCGAACAGAUAAGGAGCUUGCUCCUUUGACGUUAGCGGCGGACGGGUGAGUAACACGUGGGUAACCUACCUAUAAGACUGGAAUAACUCCGGGAAACCGGGGCUAAUGCCGGAUAACAUUUAGAACCGCAUGGUUCUAAAGUGAAAGAUGGUUUUACUAUCACUUAUAGAUGGACCCGCGCCGUAUUAGCUAGUUGGUAAGGUAACGGCUUACCAAGGCAACGAUACGUGGCCGACCUGAGAGGGUGAUCGGCCACACUGGAACUGAGACACGGUCCAGACUCCUACGGGAGGCAGCAGUAGGGAAUCUUCCGCAAUGGGCGAAAGCCUGACGGAGCAACGCCGCGUGAGUGAUGAAGGUCUUCGGAUCGUAAAACUCUGUUAUUAGGGAAGAACAAAUGUGUAAGUAACUGUGCACGUCUUGACGGUACCUAAUCAGAAAGCCACGGCUAACUACGUG